RNAcentral lists this ribosomal RNA (446 nucleotides) under uncultured Pelagibacterales bacterium. RNAcentral describes it as "bacterial SSU rRNA". It matches the Rfam family "Bacterial small subunit ribosomal RNA", at positions 1072 to 1533 of the family's 1533-position model. Lineage: Bacteria; Pseudomonadati; Pseudomonadota; Alphaproteobacteria; Candidatus Pelagibacterales. The record is from RNAcentral.
GAGAGUGGGUAGUCCGCACGAGCGCACCUUACUUUUAGUUGCUACCAUUUAGUUGGGCACUCUAGAAGAACUGCCGGUGAUAAGCUGGAGGAAGGUGGGGAUGACGUCAAGUCCUCAUGGCCCUUAUGUGUUGGGCUACACACGUGCUACAAUGGUAUUUACAGUGGGAUGCAAAGAGGCAACUCCUAGCCAACCCUUAAAGAAUACCUCAGUUCGGAUUGUACUCUGCAACUCGAGUACAUGAAGCUGGAAUUACUAGUAAUCGCGGAUCAGCGCGCCGCGGUGAAUACGUUCCCGGGUCUUGUACACACCGCCCGUCACACCAUGGAAGUUGGUUACACCUUAAGGCAAAGUGUAAAACCUUUGACUACGGUACGAUCAGCGACUGGGGUGAAGUCGUAACAAGGUAGCCGUAGGGGAACCUGCGGCUGGAUCACCUCCUUUCC